UACGUAGGGUGCGAGCGUUGUCCGGAAUUAUUGGGCGUAAAGGGCUCGUAGGCGGUUUGUCGCGUCGGGAGUGAAAUCCACUGGCUUAACUGGGGGCUUGCUUUCGAUACGGGCAGACUGGAGGUCUGCAGGGGAGAACGGAAUUCCUGGUGUAGCGGUGAAAUGCGCAGAUAUCAGGAGGAACACCGGUGGCGAAGGCGGGUCUCUGGGCCGAUACUGACACUGAGGAGCGAAAGCGUGGGGAGCGAACAGG
This 253-nucleotide ribosomal RNA is filed under the name uncultured bacterium. RNAcentral's name for it is "partial 16S ribosomal RNA". It matches the Rfam family "Bacterial small subunit ribosomal RNA", at positions 524 to 776 of the family's 1533-position model. The record is from RNAcentral.